Molecule: non-coding RNA, 111 nt
Organism: Acanthosepion pharaonis
Lineage: Eukaryota; Metazoa; Mollusca; Cephalopoda; Sepiida; Sepiidae
Source: the annotation of a GenBank genome assembly
UUACGGCCGUAUCACGUUGAAACAGCGGUCCCCAUACGAUCACCGAAGUUAAGCAACGUCAAGCCUGGUCUAUACGUAGAUGGGUGAUUAUUUGGGAAGAAUACCUGGGUG